Non-coding RNA from Potamilus streckersoni, 78 nucleotides. The record is from the annotation of a GenBank genome assembly. Lineage: Eukaryota; Metazoa; Mollusca; Bivalvia; Unionida; Unionidae.
UCACAUGGCCUAAGUGGUUACAGCGUCCGCCUCAGACGCCGGAAGUGGCGGGUUUGAAUCCCGACCAAGUCAUAUCAA